UGGGAAUUUUGGACAAUGGGCGAAAGCCUGAUCCAGCGAUGCCGCGUGUGUGAAGAAGGCCUUCGGGUUGUAAAGCACUUUUGUCCGGAAAGAAAUCCUUGGCUCUAAUACAGUCGGGGGAUGACGGUACCGGAAGAAUAAGCACCGGCUAACUACGUGCCAGCAGCCGCGGUAAUACGUAGGGUGCAAGCGUUAAUCGGAAUUACUGGGCGUAAAGCGUGCGCAGGCGGUUUGCUAAGACCGAUGUGAAAUCCCCGGGCUCAACCUGGGAACUGCAUUGGUGACUGGCAGGCUAGAGUAUGGCAGAGGGGGGUAGAAUUCCACGUGUAGCAGUGAAAUGCGUAGAGAUGUGGAGGAAUACCGAUGGCGAAGGCAGCCCCCUGGGCCAAUACUGACGCUCAUGCACGAAAGCGUGGGGAGCAAACAGGAUUAGAUACCCUGGUAGUCCACGCCCUAAACGAUGUCAACUAGUUGUUGGGGAUUCAUUUCCUUAGUAACGUAGCUAACGCGUGAAGUUGACCGCCUGGGGAGUACGGUCGCAAGAUUAAAACUCAAAUGAAUU
This 562-nucleotide ribosomal RNA is filed under the name uncultured bacterium. RNAcentral's name for it is "partial 16S ribosomal RNA". It matches the Rfam family "Bacterial small subunit ribosomal RNA", at positions 356 to 911 of the family's 1533-position model. The record is from RNAcentral.